AACACGGUAACCGUUAGAGUUUGGAUCUGGCUCAGGACGAACGCUGGCGGCGUGCCUAAUACAUGCAAGUCGAGCGGACAGAUGGGAGCUUGCUCCCUGAUGUUAGCGGCGGACGGGUGAGUAACACGUGGGUAACCUGCCUGUAAGACUGGGAUAACUCCGGGAAACCGGGGCUAAUACCGGAUGGUUGUUUGAACCGCAUGGUUCAAACAUAAAAGGUGGCUUCGGCUACCACUUACAGAUGGACCCGCGGCGCAUUAGCUAGUUGGUGAGGUAACGGCUCACCAAGGCAACGAUGCGUAGCCGACCUGAGAGGGUGAUCGGCCACACUGGGACUGAGACACGGCCCAGACUCCUACGGGAGGCAGCAGUAGGGAAUCUUCCGCAAUGGACGAAAGUCUGACGGAGCAACGCCGCGUGAGUGAUGAAGGUUUUCGGAUCGUAAAGCUCUGUUGUUAGGGAAGAACAAGUACCGUUCGAAUAGGGCGGUACCUUGACGGUACCUAACCAGAAAGCCACGGCUAACUACGUGCCAGCAGCCGCGGUAAUACGUAGGUGGCAAGCGUUGUCCGGAAUUAUUGGGCGUAAAGGGCUCGCAGGCGGUUUCUUAAGUCUGAUGUGAAAGCCCCCGGCUCAACCGGGGAGGGUCAUUGGAAACUGGGGAACUUGAGUGCAGAAGAGGAGAGUGGAAUUCCACGUGUAGCGGUGAAAUGCGUAGAGAUGUGGAGGAACACCAGUGGCGAAGGCGACUCUCUGGUCUGUAACUGACGCUGAGGAGCGAAAGCGUGGGGAGCGAACAGGAUUAGAUACCCUGGUAGUCCACGCCGUAAACGAUGAGUGCUAAGUGUUAGGGGGUUUCCGCCCCUUAGUGCUGCAGCUAACGCAUUAAGA
This 891-nucleotide ribosomal RNA is filed under the name Bacillus subtilis. RNAcentral describes it as "bacterial SSU rRNA". It matches the Rfam family "Bacterial small subunit ribosomal RNA", at positions 1 to 865 of the family's 1533-position model. The record is from RNAcentral. Lineage: Bacteria; Bacillati; Bacillota; Bacilli; Caryophanales; Bacillaceae.